This 814-nucleotide long non-coding RNA is filed under the name Rattus norvegicus (Norway rat). Its description in RNAcentral is "long non-coding RNA NONRATT021196". Lineage: Eukaryota; Metazoa; Chordata; Mammalia; Rodentia; Muridae. The record is from RNAcentral.
GGCUUGUGUCAUGGUGCAGAUUUGACAGUCUGAAUUGAAUCCUUGAGUCCCACCAAGUCGCAGGAGAGAGUAGACGUCCAGCGUUGGCUCUCUGACUGCUGCACAUGCACAUGUGCUGACAGGUAGACACACACAGGACAUAAACUUUUCAGUGUGGAAACGAACCGUAAAGUUUACUUGGCAUAGUAUUAUUUCAUCAGGAUACAUCUAUUUAUUUUUGUAGGACACUAAAGGACUCAGCAAAAAGAGAAAGAUGUAUGAGGAUAAACCUUUGUCAUCUGAGUCAUUGUCAGAGUCAGACUGUGGAGAGGUGCAAGCGAAAAAGAAGAAAAGCGGUGAAGAGCGAGAGAGAACAACAGACAAAGCUAAAAAGAGAAGGAAGCAUAAGAAACACAGCAAGAAGAAGAAAAAGAAGGCUGCCAGUUCAAGCUCAGACUCGCCGUAGCAUCCAGAAGACCAGGGUCCUUACAGAGUGCAAUGUCAAAGGAGCUCUCAACUGUGAAGAUUAUGACUUACUUAGUAACGUGCAUGAAUCCCCUUGUUUUUAGACUUGUCCUGGACUAGUCAGUAGUCACUUGGAUUCCGCUGUGUGAAGGGCCAUGAAUGUUGCCUGCUGCUUGAACACCUUUUCCUCUUCCAGUGCUUGGUGACUCUGGGAGAUAGUACUUUGCAGUCAUACUAGUGGUUAAGAUAUUUGGAAUAAAGCUAAUAUUUUUUACUAGAAGUACUUAAGAAUAAAUCAACAGGAACUGAAUCUGGAUCCAUCUUUUAAGAUGUAACCAGAAAUAACGAGAUGACUCUAGUAAAGAUUUUC